RNAcentral lists this transfer RNA (51 nucleotides) under Loxosceles caribbaea. Its description in RNAcentral is "tRNA-Leu". The record is from RNAcentral. Lineage: Eukaryota; Metazoa; Arthropoda; Arachnida; Araneae; Sicariidae.
UACAAAAUUAGCAAAAAAUUGCAUAAGCUUUAGACUCUUACUUUUCCUUAA